RNAcentral lists this ribosomal RNA (337 nucleotides) under uncultured bacterium. RNAcentral's name for it is "bacterial SSU rRNA". It matches the Rfam family "Bacterial small subunit ribosomal RNA", at positions 29 to 375 of the family's 1533-position model. The record is from RNAcentral.
AGUGAACGCUGGCGGCAGGCCUAACACAUGCAAGUCGAGCGGCAGCGCGGGGCAACCUGGCGGCGAGCGGCGGACGGGUGAGGAAUGCGUCGGAAUCUGCCUUUUUGUGGGGGAUAACGUAGGGAAACGAAUGCUAAUACCCCAUAUGCUUUCGAGUGAAAUGGAUUUUAUUCCGCCUAGAGAGAAGCUCGCGGCUGAUUAGCUUGUUGGUAAGGUAAGAGCUUACCAAGGCGACGAUCAGUAUCUGGUUUGAGAGGACGAUCAGACACACUGGAACUGAGACACGGCCCAGACUCCUACGGGAGGCAGCAGUGGGGGAAAGUCCUUGCACAAUAGA